RNAcentral lists this small RNA (600 nucleotides) under Pan troglodytes (chimpanzee). Its description in RNAcentral is "processed transcript". Lineage: Eukaryota; Metazoa; Chordata; Mammalia; Primates; Hominidae. The record is from RNAcentral.
GGCAGAGGCUGCAGUCCGUCUUCCCUUCAAAAACUUGGAAUGAUUUCAAAUCAUAGGCACCUUCACUUAACCCUAGCUUCCAUUCAUCAGCAAACACAUCGGAUCGAUGCUACGCUAACCUAUCGGGUUCUCUCUCCGCGCGUUCAGGCUUGAAGAUGCAGUGGACGCCAGAGCAUGCCCAGUGGCCAGAACAGCACUUUGACAUCACCUCAACCACUCGGUCUCCUGCCCACAAAGUUGAAGCCUACAGAGGUCAUCUGCAGCGCACCUAUCAGUACGCCUGGGCGAAUGAUGACAUAUCUGCUCUGACUGCAUCCAACCUACUAAAAAAAUAUGCAGAGAAGUAUUCCGGCAUUUUGGAAGGUCCUGUGGACCGACCCGUACUCAGCAACUAUUCGGACACACCAUCAGGACUAGUGAACGGUCGGAAAAAUGAAAGUGAACCCUGGCAGCCUUCCUUGAAUUCAGAAGCUGUUUAUCCCAUGAACUGUGUUCCGGAUGUUAUCACUGCCAGCAAAGCUGGAGUCAGUUCAGCCCUCCCUCCAGCAGAUGUCUCUGCGAGUAUAGGGAGCUCUCCUGGGGUAGCCAGCAACCUGACGG